GAGGGCCCGGACAGUCUUUGUUUAACUCAAUGCACACAGAUCCCAGCUCUAAUCAUAAACUCUGCUGGUGAUGAUGAAGAGAGGAUUUAUAUAUAGAACCCAGAGCCCAAGACACAGAAACACGAGCACACAUCUGCAGUGGGUUCCAUGGCAAGGCACCCAGUUUUCUCCAGCAAGACUGAAAAAUCUACCUUGUCAUGUUAAAGUCUCAGCUCUGCCUCGCCAAGAAGGACUCCUCUGGGCAUUUUAUAUGAACUACAUGAACUUUGCUCAGACUUCGAGGGAGCGACUCCUCAACGUCUCCAUGAUUAUUUUAUACCUGAAACUUCACAGCCCUGGCUGGUGAUUUUCCAAGAUCUGAAUUGAUAAGAUUUAUUUCCAUGCAUCAAAAAGUAGAAAUAUCAAAAGCCACAUAGAGCAGUUCAGUUUC
RNAcentral lists this long non-coding RNA (430 nucleotides) under Bos taurus (domestic cattle). RNAcentral describes it as "long non-coding RNA NONBTAT016907". The record is from RNAcentral. Lineage: Eukaryota; Metazoa; Chordata; Mammalia; Artiodactyla; Bovidae.